GCCCGGGUGGCGCAACUGGCAGACGCAGCUCGCUUAAAACGGGCAAAGUGUGGGUUCGACUCCCACCCCGGGCA
Molecule: transfer RNA, 74 nt
Filed under: Streptomyces argyrophylli
Lineage: Bacteria; Bacillati; Actinomycetota; Actinomycetes; Kitasatosporales; Streptomycetaceae
Also listed under: 2 other names
Description: Streptomyces argyrophyllae tRNA
Rfam family: tRNA
About the family: Transfer RNA (tRNA) molecules are approximately 80 nucleotides in length.
Source: Rfam by way of RNAcentral